UUAAUUUUAAUUUCAAUCUCCUAAACGUUCUGGACGGAUAUCUACAUCCGUUUAAGAUCCAAUCAAAUGUCACAUGUCUGACGUCUUCUUCCUCCUAGGACUCAUAAAUUCUCACACAGAAAAAUACAAAACCCAGAAACCUCACGCACACACAACUGAAAAGUUGUUACAUACAUUUAAAAAAAAAAACAACUAGAAAUCAAGACAACGCUCAAGAAACCAAAAGAAAAAAUAAGCUCUGGUGCAGAGUGGCAGAAACUAGCAACAUGCGGAAGAAGAAACCCAAACGAACGAAAGCUUCUUUAUCAAGCGGCGGAAGAAGAGACGAAAAACUAACCUCUCGAAGACCAACCGGCAGAAACGAAGCACCACUGCACCGCACCGCCAAACCGCCGCACACACAGGCCACACCGCCGCACACCCAGGCCGCACCACCGCAAAAUGCACAGACAAAGGAGUUGGGAGUCAAAGGUUAAAAAAAAUGAAAAUGAGAGUGAAGAGAAACAGAUCGGGAAGGUGGGAGUGCUGUGUUACCGUGAGAAAGGGAGUGAAAAGGUGAGGGUGCUGUGUUACCGUGAGGAAGGGAGUGAACUUGAAAAUGGGAAAGUAAGAAAUCUAGAGUUAGUUAAAUAAAAGAGGGUUAAAAAUGUAAAUUACAAAGUAUAUAAAAGGUUAUUUUUAUAAUAUAAAACAAUUAAAAAAAUGGGGAGGUAGAAAUCCAAAACCGUGGAGGUGUAGGGAUCAACUCUCAUUUGAAACGGACUAAUCACAAACUGUCACGUAAGCGGUUAUAAAAAAGUUGUAAAAAAAAAUGGUUAAAAAUACAUUUUCCUUAGAGAAAAUAUGAUUGUUUAGUGGUUGACUCUAAUUUUUGUUGGAAUAAACUUAAAUUUUAGAUAUUUAUUAUUUUUUUUUUGUUUUGGGUAUAAUAAUAUUUGGGUUGAUUUAAUAAAGAUCAAAUAGGAAUGGGUAAUAAUGAUUUUCUGUUUAUCUAGGUAGAAUAUUAUUUUAUGAUAGAAUAAACAGAUUUUAUUUUUAAAGUUUUUAUUAUUUGUACUUGGCCC
RNAcentral lists this long non-coding RNA (1064 nucleotides) under Vigna radiata. RNAcentral describes it as "long non-coding RNA (VRAD_LNC005592)". Lineage: Eukaryota; Viridiplantae; Streptophyta; Magnoliopsida; Fabales; Fabaceae. The record is from RNAcentral.